CCUACGGGAGGCAGCAGUGAGGAAUAUUGGUCAAUGGACGAGAGUCUGAACCAGCCAAGUAGCGUGAAGGAUGACUGCCCUAUGGGUUGUAAACUUCUUUUAUAUGGGAAUAAAACGUUCCACGUGUGGGAUUUUGUAUGUACCAUAUGAAUAAGGAUCGGCUAACUCCGUGCCAGCAGCCGCGGUAAUACGGAGGAUCCGAGCGUUAUCCGGAUUUAUUGGGUUUAAAGGGAGCGUAGGUGGAUUGUUAAGUCAGUUGUGAAAGUUUGCGGCUCAACCGUAAAAUUGAAGUUGAAACUGGCAGUCUUGAGUACAGUAGAGGUGGGCGGAAUUCGUGGUGUAGCGGUGAAAUGCUUAGAUAUCACGAAGAACUCCGAUUGCGAAGGCAGUUCACUGGACUGCAACUGACACUGAGGCUCGAAAGUGUGGGUAUCAAACAGGAUUAGAUACCCGAGUAGUC
Molecule: ribosomal RNA, 460 nt
Filed under: uncultured bacterium
Lineage: Bacteria
Description: partial 16S ribosomal RNA
Rfam family: Bacterial small subunit ribosomal RNA
Source: RNAcentral